This 331-nucleotide ribosomal RNA is filed under the name uncultured bacterium. RNAcentral describes it as "bacterial SSU rRNA". It matches the Rfam family "Bacterial small subunit ribosomal RNA", at positions 29 to 359 of the family's 1533-position model. The record is from RNAcentral.
AUUGAACGCUGGCGGCAUGCCUUACACAUGCAAGUCGAACGGUAACGCGGGGGCAACCCUGGCGACGAGUGGCGAACGGGUGAGUAAUACAUCGGAACGUGUCCUGUUGUGGGGGAUAACCCAUCGAAAGGUGAGCUAAUACCGCAUGAUCUGGAGACAGCAAAGCAGGGGACCGGAAACGGCCUUGCGCGAUUGGAGCGGCCGAUGUCCGAUUAGCUAGUUGGUGGGGUAAAGGCCCACCAAGGCAACGAUCGGUAGCUGGUCUGAGAGGAUGAUCAGCCACACUGGGACUGAGACACGGCCCAGACUCCUACGGGAGGCAGCAGUGGGG